CCGAACCGACUAAUGUUGAAAAAUUAGCGGAUGACCUGUGGCUGGGGGUGAAAGGCCAAUCAAACCGGGAGAUAGCUGGUUCUCCCCGAAAGCUAUUUAGGUAGCGCCUCGUGAAUUCAUCUCCGGGGGUAGAGCACUGUUUCGGCUAGGGGGCCAUCCCGGCUUACCAACCCGAUGCAAACUGCGAAUACCGGAGAAUGUUAUCACGGGAGACACACGGCGGGUGCUAAUGUCCGUCGUGAAGAGGGAAACAACCCAGACCGCCAGCUAAGGUCCCAAAGUCAUGGUUAAGUGGGAAACGAUGUGGGAAGGCCCAGACAGCCAGGAUGUUGGCUUAGAAGCAGCCAUCAUUUAAAGAAAGCGUAAUAGCUCACUGGUCGAGUCGGCCUGCGCGGAAGAUGUAACGGGGCUAAACCAUGCACCGAAGCUGCGGCAGCGACACCGUGUGUUGUUGGGUAGGGGAGCGUUCUGUAAGCCUGUGAAGGUGUGCUGUGAGGCAUGCUGGAGGUAUCAGAAGUGCGAAUGCUGACAUAAGUAACGAUAAAGCGGGUGAAAAGCCCGCUCGCCGGAAGACCAAGGGUUCCUGUCCAACGUUAAUCGGGGCAGGGUGAGUCGACCCCUAAGGCGAGGCCGAAAGGCGUAGUCGAUGGGAAACGGGUUAAUAUUCCCGUACUUGGUGUUACUGCGAAGGGGGGACGGAGAAGGCUAUGUUGGCCGGGCGACGGUUGUCCCGGUUUAAGCGUGUAGGUAUGUGUUCCAGGUAAAUCCGGUUCACUUUAACACUGAGGCGUGACGACGAGGCACUACGGUGCUGAAGCAACAAAUGCCCUGCUUCCAGGAAAAGCCUCUAAGCAUCAGGUAACAUCAAAUCGUACCCCAAACCGACACAGGUGGUCAGGUAGAGAAUACCAAGGCGCUUGAGAGAACUCGGGUGAAGGAACUAGGCAAAAUGGUGCCGUAACUUCGGGAGAAGGCACGCUGACACGUAGGUGAAGUGAUUUACUCACGGAGCUGAAGUCAGCCGAAGAUACCAGCUGGCUGCAACUGUUUAUUAAAAACACAGCACUGUGCAAACACGAAAGUGGACGUAUACGGUGUGACGCCUGCCCGGUGCCGGAAGGUUAAUUGAUGGGGUCAGCGCAAGCGAAGCUCCUGAUCGAAGCCCCGGUAAACGGCGGCCGUAACUAUAACGGUCCUAAGGUAGCGAAAUUCCUUGUCGGGUAAGUUCCGACCUGCACGAAUGGCGUAAUGAUGGCCAGGCUGUCUCCACCCGAGACUCAGUGAAAUUGAACUCGCUGUGAAGAUGCAGUGUACCCGCGGCAAGACGGAAAGACCCCGUGAACCUUUACUAUAGCUUGACACUGAACAUUGAGCCUUGAUGUGUAGGAUAGGUGGGAGGCUUUGAAGUGUGGACGCCAGUCUGCAUGGAGCCGACCUUGAAAUACCACCCUUUAAUGUUUGAUGUUCUAACGUGGACCCGUGAUCCGGGUUGCGGACAGUGUCUGGUGGGUAGUUUGACUGGGGCGGUCUCCUCCUAAAGAGUAACGGAGGAGCACGAAGGUUGGCUAAUCCUGGUCGGACAUCAGGAGGUUAGUGCAAUGGCAUAAGCCAGCUUGACUGCGAGCGUGACGGCGCGAGCAGGUGCGAAAGCAGGUCAUAGUGAUCCGGUGGUUCUGAAUGGAAGGGCCAUCGCUCAACGGAUAAAAGGUACUCCGGGGAUAACAGGCUGAUACCGCCCAAGAGUUCAUAUCGACGGCGGUGUUUGGCACCUCGAUGUCGGCUCAUCACAUCCUGGGGCUGAAGUAGGUCCCAAGGGUAUGGCUGUUCGCCAUUUAAAGUGGUACGCGAGCUGGGUUUAGAACGUCGUGAGACAGUUCGGUCCCUAUCUGCCGUGGGCGCUGGAGAACUGAGGGGGGCUGCUCCUAGUACGAGAGGACCGGAGUGGACGCAUCACUGGUGUUCGGGUUGUCAUGCCAAUGGCACUGCCCGGUAGCUAAAUGCGGAAGAGAUAAGUGCUGAAAGCAUCUAAGCACGAAACUUGCCCCGAGAUGAGUUCUCCCUGAGACUUUAGGUCUCCUGAAGGAACGUUGAAGACGACGACGUUGAUAGGCCGGGUGUGUAAGCGCAGCGAUGCGUUGAGCUAACCGGUACUAAUGAACCGUGAGGCUUAACCUUACAACGCCGAAG
Molecule: ribosomal RNA, 2187 nt
Filed under: Salmonella enterica
Lineage: Bacteria; Pseudomonadati; Pseudomonadota; Gammaproteobacteria; Enterobacterales; Enterobacteriaceae
Also listed under: 1 other name
Description: partial 23S ribosomal RNA
Rfam family: Bacterial large subunit ribosomal RNA
Source: RNAcentral